This 424-nucleotide ribosomal RNA is filed under the name Verrucomicrobiota bacterium. RNAcentral's name for it is "Verrucomicrobia bacterium partial 16S ribosomal RNA". It matches the Rfam family "Bacterial small subunit ribosomal RNA", at positions 355 to 776 of the family's 1533-position model. Lineage: Bacteria; Pseudomonadati; Verrucomicrobiota. The record is from RNAcentral.
UGAGGAAUAUUGGUCAAUGGACGCAAGUCUGAACCAGCCAAGUAGCGUGCAGGAUGACGGCCCUAUGGGUUGUAAACUGCUUUUAUAUGGGGAUAAAGUGGGGAACGUGUUCCCUUUUGCAGGUACCAUAUGAAUAAGGACCGGCUAAUUCCGUGCCAGCAGCCGCGGUAAUACGGAAGGUUCGGGCGUUAUCCGGAUUUAUUGGGUUUAAAGGGAGCGUAGGCUGUCUAUUAAGCGUGUUGUGAAAUAUACCGGCUCAACCGGUGGCUUGCAGCGCGAACUGGUCGACUUGAGUAUGCAGGAAGUAGGCGGAAUUCAUGGUGUAGCGGUGAAAUGCUUAGAUAUCAUGACGAACUCCGAUUGCGCAGGCAGCUUACUGUAGCAUAACUGACGCUGAUGCUCGAAAGUGCGGGUAUCAAACAGG